Long non-coding RNA from Oncorhynchus keta (chum salmon), 1276 nucleotides. RefSeq lists it as uncharacterized. The transcript is spliced from 6 exons. The record is from RefSeq and is a predicted model, not a curated record. Lineage: Eukaryota; Metazoa; Chordata; Actinopteri; Salmoniformes; Salmonidae.
UCAGUCUAAAUCAAAUCAAAUUUUAUUUGUCACAUACACAUGGUUAGCAGAUGUUAAUGCGAGUGUAGCGAAAUGCUUGUGCUUCUAGUUCCAACAGUGCAGUAAUAACCAACAAGUAAUCUAGCUAACAAUUCCAAAACUACUGUCUUAUACACAGUGUAAUGGGGAUAAAGAGUAUGUACAUAAAAGAUGUGAAUGAGUGAUGGUACAGAACGACAUAGGCAAGAUACAGUAGAUGGUAUCGAGUACAGUAUAUACAUAUGAGGUGAGUAUGUAAACAAAGUGGCAUAGUUAAAGUGGCUAGUGAUACAUGUAUCAGGUAGAGAUAGAGGUGUCUUCUCCAGGUGAGUCAGUCUACAGGUAGAGAUAGAGGUCUCUUCUCCAGGUGAGUCAGUCUACAGGUAGAGAUAGAGGUCUCUUCUCCAGGUGAGUCAGUCUACAGGUAGAGAUAGAGGUGUCUUCUCCAGGUGAGUCAGUCUACAGGUAGAGAUAGAGGUCUCUUCUCCAGGUGAGUCAGUCUACAGGUAGAGAUAGAGGUGUCUUCUCCAGGUGAGUCAGUCUACAGGUAGAGAUAGAGGUCUCUUCUCCAGGUGAGUCAGUCUACAGGUAGAGAUAGAGGUCUCUUCUCCAGGUGAGUCAGUCUACAGGUAGAGAUAGAGGUCUCUUCUCCAGGUGAGUCAGUCUACAGGUAGAGAUAGAGGUGUCUUCUCCAGGUGAGUCAGUCUACAGGUAGAGAUAGAGGUCUCUUCUCCAGGUGAGUCAGUCUACAGGUAGAGAUAGAGGUGUCUUCUCCAGGUGAGUCAGUCUACAGGUAGAGAUAGAGGUCUCUUCUCCAGGUGAGUCAGUCUACAGGUAGAGAUAGAGGUGUCUUCUCCAGGUGAGUCAGUCUACAGGUAGAGAUAGAGGUCUCUUCUCCAGGUGAGUCAGUCUACAGGUAGAGAUAGAGGUCUCUUCUCCAGGUGAGUCAGUCUACAGGUAGAGAUAGAGGUGUCUUCUCCAGGUGAGUCAGUCUACAGGUAGAGAUAGAGGUCUCUUCUCCAGGUGAGUCAGUCUACAGGUAGAGAUAGAGGUGUCUUCUCCAGGUGAGUCAGUCUACAGGUAGAGAUAGAGGUGUCUUCUCCAGGUGAGUCAGUCUACAGGUAGAGAUAGAGGUCUCUUCUCCAGGUGAGUCAGUCUACAGGUAGAGAUAGAGGUGUCUUCUCCAGGUGAGUCAGUCUACAGGUAGAGAUAGAGGUCUCUUCUCCAGGUGAGUCAGUCUACAGGUAGAGAUAGAGGU